AUCCAGCUGAUGAGUCCCGAGUAGGACGAAACGCAUGUACUGGAU
This is a non-coding RNA of Schistosoma curassoni, 45 nucleotides long. The record is from Rfam. Lineage: Eukaryota; Metazoa; Platyhelminthes; Trematoda; Strigeidida; Schistosomatidae.